CUGCCGAAGUGGAGCAUGCAACCUCUAUGCCACCAGGUUGGCCCCUCACUUUCCUCUUUUCUUAAUGCCACCACCUAGCCUCUGAACAAUCCAACUCAAAACACAUUCUUUUAUCUAAUUGUAUUAUAUGUUAAUCUUAUCUCCCAACUAGAUUGUAAGCACUUGAGAUCAGUCACCAUGCUAAUGCUUUUUCUGUCUACCCUUUAGCAGCUGGCACAGGGGUGGGUACAUAGUAGGAACUCAAUUUUGACUGGCUUUGACUGGCUUUGGACAUACGCAUGCCAGCUGAGCUAAAAUACUCUCUACUUUUUACCAUUGAGCUUCUUGGCUGGGAUGUCUUAUUAUGAAUGAAAACUAUAGACUUAUUCCACUAGAAAUAGAGAAGCUCUAAUGAGACAGGGAAAGCUGUUUGUUUUUCAGGCAUCUAGGAUGCAAGGCAUGGGCAUUCCUUAAUCAAGUGGAGAUCAUUUGACUAAGGCGCCAGUUGCAAAGCUAUUCUGAACCCCACAUUUCCAAAGAUAUCAGGGACAGUUUGUUGUGCUGGGCUGCUAAUAAUUACCAUGUUCUGGCUGCUUAAGAACUAGAAUAUAGUCUCUGUGUUUCUGUAGAGUUCAAGAGCCUCGGGAGGGCAUCUACACCAGCCCACUGCCUUCAGCAUCAAUGGGAACUCAUUUGACAUUUAAUACAAAUCUCAGAGGAGGAUUUGACUCCCUAUGAGUGCAUUUCCCAAAGCCAUACACUUGCUGCUUGUAUUAUUAUCCCAGGCCCUUGAAGUCUUUCAUACCUCUGAACCAGUCUGGAGGCUUGGAAACAGAUGACACGUGGAAGCUUCUGAUUGAAAGAUGUGCGACCUAGGGCUUCUUCCAUUCGUAAGGCCAGAGUUGAAGGAAGCUAACCUUCAAUCUCCAACCAGGCUGAGAGCACCAAUUGGGCUCAAGAGCAAAUUGUAUUGGAAAAGCAGCAGAAGCACUGAAAUGAAUUGUCAUGAAAUGAGGCUUCAAAUGAAAGCACAAGGCAGAGCCUGGUCCUAAUUGGCAGUGGAGUUACUCAGGUAAGAGGCCAAUUCCAAAUGUCCCGUUGCCGAACUUUUGGAACAUGCGUGCCCCCUCCCCCAGUCACCUCCUGCCGUCCACAUACAGCCUUUGGAAGAUGACCAUUGGGUAAACGUAACACUGAGUUAUUUCACAUUUCUUUCAAAUCUCUAAUCCAUAAACUAUGUGAAGACACAGAAAAUGUCUGAAUCAUGUUAUAAUUUGAAAUGUUCCCUGUGGUAGGGUGAAUAAUGAUACCCCAAAUAUUUCUACAUCCUAACGCCUGGAAACUGUGAAGCUGUUACCUGAUAUGCA
Molecule: long non-coding RNA, 1346 nt
Organism: Equus caballus (horse)
Lineage: Eukaryota; Metazoa; Chordata; Mammalia; Perissodactyla; Equidae
Source: RefSeq, a predicted model, not a curated record